RNAcentral lists this ribosomal RNA (402 nucleotides) under uncultured bacterium. RNAcentral's name for it is "partial 16S ribosomal RNA". It matches the Rfam family "Bacterial small subunit ribosomal RNA", at positions 359 to 776 of the family's 1533-position model. The record is from RNAcentral.
UAUAUUGGGCAAUGGGGGAAACCCUGACCCAGCGACGCCGCGUGAAGGAUGAAGGCCUUAGGGUUGUCAACUUUGUUGGAUGGGGACGAAAUAAAUGACGGUACCCAUCUAACAAGACACGGCCAACUACGUGCCAGCAGCCGCGGUAAUACGGAGGUGGCAAGCGUUAUCCGGAAUUACUGGGUGUAAAGGGCGUGUAGGCGGAUAAACAGGUCGGAUGUGAAAUCUUGCGGCUUAACGGCAAGCUGUCAUAAGAAACUGUAUAUCUUGAGUGUCAGAGGGGAAAGUGGAAUUCCUAGUGGAGCGGUAAAAUGCGUAGAUAUUAGGAGGAACACCGGUGGCGAAGGCGACUUUCUGGCUGACAACUGACGCUGAGGCGCGAAAGCGUGGGGAGCAAACAGG